GCGUGGGUGAUGAAGCUCUGAGGAGUGUAAAGCCCUGUUAGGAGGGAAGAAACUUCCCGUUUCGGGAACUGACGGUACCUCCAGAGAAAGCUCCGGCUAACUCCGUGCCAGCAGCCGCGGUAACACGGGGGGAGCAAGCGUUGUCCGGAUUUACUGGGCGUAAAGAGCGUGUAGGCGGGACAAUUAGUCAACUGUGAAAACUUUCGGCUUAACCGGAAGCGUGCAGCUGAUACUGUUGUCCUUGAGUUCGGAAGAGGGAAGUGGAAUUCCUGGUGUAGCGGUGAAAUGCGU
This 291-nucleotide ribosomal RNA is filed under the name uncultured bacterium. RNAcentral's name for it is "partial 16S ribosomal RNA". It matches the Rfam family "Bacterial small subunit ribosomal RNA", at positions 399 to 691 of the family's 1533-position model. The record is from RNAcentral.